CAGGGAGACAACAAAAUGUUUAAUAUUAUUAUUUUGUCACCUUAGGUCGAUCGGUAUCUCACAUUCUUAAUUUAUUAAGAAUUUCAUUUCCUAAGUUUUUCUAGGUCACACCCAUUAUUUUUCCUGGGCCAUUAGCUCAGGUGGUUAGAGCGCACCCCUGAUAAGGGUGAGGUCCCUGGUUCAAGUCCAGGAUGGCCCAUAUCUCUAUGUUGGGGGUAUAGCUCAGUUGGUAGAGCGCCUGCUUUGCAAGCAGGAUGUCAGCGGUUCGAGUCCGCUUACCUCCACUGAUUACCACCUCUUCCAUAACCGGUAGAAAGGAAAUGUUUUGAGUUGUGAUCAAAUUCUGAAAGAAUCUAGCUUCCUAAUGAAAUCAUUAAGAUGCUGGACUCAUUGAAUUAAUUUCAUUGUUUUCAGAGAACCUUGACAACUGCAUAGAUUAUUUUUAAAGACAAUAAGCAUCUUUAAUGAUGCAGAUUUAUUAUUUGUGCGAAUGCAUUAAUAACAAUUCUAUUAAGCUGAUGCUUCAAUUUUUGAAGUUAUU
RNAcentral lists this transfer RNA (541 nucleotides) under uncultured Prochlorococcus sp. RNAcentral describes it as "partial 16S-23S ribosomal RNA intergenic spacer". The stretch from base 212 to 284 matches the Rfam family "tRNA". The record is from RNAcentral. Lineage: Bacteria; Bacillati; Cyanobacteriota; Cyanophyceae; Synechococcales; Prochlorococcaceae.